Small nucleolar RNA from Doryrhamphus excisus (bluestripe pipefish), 83 nucleotides. RefSeq annotates it as small nucleolar RNA SNORD100. NCBI's taxonomy places the organism in Eukaryota, Metazoa, Chordata, Actinopteri, Syngnathiformes, Syngnathidae. The record is from RefSeq and is a predicted model, not a curated record.
UGUAUCCCUGAUGAUAAAUUUGGCUCCCUCUACUGAAUGCUUGUGACGAGCUUGCCACUGUUACCCAAUUUUUCUGAGAUACA